CAGUGUCUGAGGAAGGAAGAAAUUCAAAAUUAACUCCAGCGAGACACAGAUCUUAUCAAAAGCUGAAUUUGGGGGACUGAAAGUACAAAUAAUUAAGCAAUUAUGUUGCAUUCAUUUCCUAGGAAAAUUUUCUGCUAAAGUCAACAGACAAAAUUCUCACUGAAUCACAAUGAGGCCACUCUUAUUUCAAGAAUCUGCCUUCAUGGGUUUUUGCCCAAGAGAGACCUGCCAACAUUUAACGGUCUUAAAAACACAGGCUUAAGCUCUGAGUUGUUGUUAGCAGUUUCUGUUUUCCAGCCUGGAACACAUUUAAAGAGACCAAUUUUUAACAACUGCUGAAAAAUCUGAAAAGUGAGGUCUUUCAUAAUGCAUCCCAAAGCUUUUAGUCACUUACAAAAUUUAAGCCAUGAUCUUUCUGCUUUCCAUUUGGGUUGCUUGGUCCUAUAUGAUGCCCAGCCCUAACACUCCCACUGGGGCAAGGGAAAAUUGCUUUUCUUGUUAAAGCAGACAUUAAAAAAAUAUUAAUUUGAAACACAGAAGAAUAUGGAAGAUACAAGAACAUGAGAACAUACAGAGUUGUUAUUCCAACCAGCAGGUAAAACCACUUGUAUAAUAUAAUUUCUUUUUGCAGCUGGUAGGGGGUGUUAUUAUUAAUGUUUUAUUUGUUGUUUCUUCUUUAAGGAGACAAGUGAAUCACAGCAAAGAGUGUGAGCUCCCAACUGACAAGCUCAGAGGACUUGGAAGGCUGCUGGGGUGUGCAGGAGAGGUGGAAGCAGUAGCUUGAAAUAGAAGGAUUGCACCUGGUACAGUCCAGCCUUCCCCUUGCACAGGUCAUGAACAUUAGCUGAAUGUGCUGCCACUGCAGAUGGACGCAGAGAGCUGGGCUUGUCCUCCCCCUUGGCUGGGGCAGUGGUCCCUGGGAGAUGACUACAACCACAAAACAGCAACAUUGAGGCUACUCUACAGAAGAUGUUUCAUACCAUGUCAGCUCAUGCUCUGGAGAGCAGAGAAACAGAGGAGCCUGAUUCACGAUGUGGUGCACUGUGGAAGUGCCUGAGCAGGGGAUGCAGUCAUAGACAGCACAAGACAUGGGAGGAACCAAAGCAUUCUUCAGUGAUUAUCUAAAUGUGUUGCAGCAACAUAAAAAAAUCCCUGAACGAUUCAUUAAAUAAGCUAAAAAAGACACAAACUGUUUGGAGAGUUGGGAUUGCCAAGGAAUAUGAAGGCAUUGUCACGGAAAAACCUCAUACAUGGAUUCUUCCCUGCGGUACACCCAGGAGAUCCAGACAAGUAUCCUAAGAAUAUACAGUUACAGACAGUACAACGUGAACACGUGGAGACCACAAGGUACUAAAACCUGAGGCUGAAUCCUGUGUUCCCAGAGCCUGCAGGGGUUUGCCAUUAACUCAGAGCGAUGUUUCAGUAUUUGUCACACCUCACAGCAACUAUACCAACAUCCUAAGUGCUUGUUUGGGCCACAGGAAGUUACUGCACCAAAAGCAGAUUCACUCCACAGCAGCAAGGAAGGGGAUACUAAUGAGGUUAAUUCCCGUAUUUUGGGUUACUGUUGGAAGAAAAAAAUAUGAAGAAAAGAAAAAAAAAGCUUUGGGACCCUCAAGACUCUACACAAGCUGUGCUGUCAGGCCAUGAGCCUUGCUCUCCUGUGCUCUGUAACACACAGCUCUGUCAUGCUCAGCUUCAGCAGGAAGGAGAAAUGCCAUGAGGACACAGGGACCCAAACCUUCCCUGCAGCUUUGGAUUUCUGCCUGGACUGCCCCAUGUCCAAGAAGGUGGAAGUGCUGGCUGAGUCUUGCCCCAGCUGUGGCUCUCAGAAGAAUUCUCCCUGGUGAAGUUUCUGAUGGACCAGCAUUUCUGGUGCCAAGGCUGAAGCCUUUCUUUCAGUGGGGCAAAUACUCAGUGCUUGUGUAUUUUCAAACUGGUAUUCUCUGGAUAAAUCUAAACAGUAGUCCAGGCUCAAAAGCUGGAAUACCAGUGUACACCUGAUUUGGAAAUACACUUAGUUAAAUGCUUUCACCCAGGAAGACCUGGAAACAGGCAAGAUGUUUCACAAAACUCAGUGCUGCACUUCUUCAGAUUCCAGUGUCCUCCAGCAGCCAGAUGUGACAGUGCUGGUUUGUUGGGGGUUUUUUAAUCCUCCUGCAGAUUAAAUUCUAAUUUAACCCUAAACUCUGCUAAUUUAAUUAACAUUCAAAAGCCCCACAUGUUUGUGUUCCCUCCUUGUUCCCUGUAUGUUACAGGCACAGAGUGCUACAGCAAAGCAAAUCUCACUGCAAGGACUGCAUAUAAUGUCAAGAGGUUUGGUAAGCACAGUUAAAAGCGGAGACCUCCCUGGAGCACCACUGUGAUAACAAGGCAAGGCAUCUUUAUGUUUUUGAAAGCAAAGAAAGCCAAACAAAAAGUUAUAAAGCCCUUUGUUCUCAAAGAGGUCAUCAAACAUCUCUCUGGGUAUCCACACAAGACUAGCUUGCAUGAAGUCCAUUAAAUGUGAUGAAAACUGCACAUAACUCUCACUAGAGGAAAAAUGAUUCCUGUUUCUCUUGUUUGAAUAUGCUGCAUACUACACUGCUGAAACAGAGGCUUUUCCCAUGACUGCUGCACAGGCAGCCCCAUCUAUGGGGCUCAGAGACUUGGGAUAGCAACAAAGUUUGGAUAGGGAAGAAAUAGGCAUUUAAUUCACCAGUGUAUUUACUUAUUAACAUAAACUUAUGAGCACCAGCAUUUGUUAAUUAUAACCAGAUUUGCCCUGUAAGCCCUCACUCUAAACUGCAUCCCAAAGCUUCAAGGAAGCAUCUUUAGACAGACAGCUGCAGGUUUGCUCAAAUAUGACAAAUUGUUAAUUCUGUACAGAGGAAGGGCUUAAACACAGCAGCCUUCCUGUAGGUGCUGUAAGAAUGACAAAAGCACAGAUCAAGUAGGAUUUUAAUGGAAUUUGAAAUGCUUGGGGCCAGAAGUUGAAUUUUACAAUUUAACAAUCCGAACUUGUAGUUCUGAGAGUGCCAGGCUCAAUCCACCAUCCACUCUUAGACAGGACCUUUAUCCAAGCACAGACCAUCGCAGAGCUGAGUAAGAUAUCCUUUGUACAGACCACAAAAUACACAAGUAACACGAGUUUCCUCAAAGUCAGUACAACCUCUAGCACCCUCAAGGAGAGCUUUGUGCUUAAACACUUCUUGAACCAGGACAUGGGCUACUGGGUGCUUCAUACCCACUCUGCCUUCACAGCAGAACACACUUGUAAUGAAACUCUGUUGAACUUAUGAAAUUAUAAUCAGAAAAAGAAAGUACAGCAAACUGCACCACUGCCCUUCACUUCUUGCUGCUAACAAAGCUAACAUGCAUUUUAAUGUAUGAAUUUACAAAAGUGACUUGCCAACACAUUGGUUCCACUGGUAAUG
This is a long non-coding RNA of Corvus hawaiiensis (hawaiian crow), 3416 nucleotides long. RefSeq lists it as uncharacterized. NCBI's taxonomy places the organism in Eukaryota, Metazoa, Chordata, Aves, Passeriformes, Corvidae. The record is from RefSeq and is a predicted model, not a curated record. The transcript is spliced from 3 exons.